UACGUAGGGUGCGAGCGUUAAUCGGAAUUACUGGGCGUAAAGCGUGCGUAGGCGGUUCUUUAAGUUCGUUGUGAAAGCCCCGGGCUCAACCUGGGAAUGGCAAUGGAAACUGGCGGGCUUGAGUAUGGCAGAGGGGAGUGGAAUUCCGCGUGUAGCAGUGAAAUGCGUAGAGAUGCGGAGGAACACCGAUGGCGAAGGCAGCCCCCUGGGCCAAUACUGACGCUCAGGCACGAAAGCGUGGGGAGCAAACAGG
This 253-nucleotide ribosomal RNA is filed under the name uncultured bacterium. Its description in RNAcentral is "partial 16S ribosomal RNA". It matches the Rfam family "Bacterial small subunit ribosomal RNA", at positions 524 to 776 of the family's 1533-position model. The record is from RNAcentral.